This 717-nucleotide ribosomal RNA is filed under the name uncultured Carnobacteriaceae bacterium. RNAcentral's name for it is "bacterial SSU rRNA". It matches the Rfam family "Bacterial small subunit ribosomal RNA", at positions 58 to 743 of the family's 1533-position model. The record is from RNAcentral. Lineage: Bacteria; Bacillati; Bacillota; Bacilli; Lactobacillales; Carnobacteriaceae.
CAAGUCGAGCGAACAGAUAAGGAGCUUGCUCCUCUGACGUUAGCGGCGAACGGGUGAGUAACACGUGAGGAACUUGCCCAUGAGCGGGGGACAACAUUCGGAAACGGAUGCUAAUACCCCAUAGGUGGAUUGGUCGCAUGACUAAUUCGUUAAAGGUGGCCCUGCUACCACUCAGUGUAUAGCCUCGCGGCCGUAUUAGCCUAGAUUGGUAAGGGUAAUGGUCUUACCAAGGACAGAUGAUACGAUAGCCGAUCUUGAGAAGGGUGAUCGCGCCACACUGGAGACUGAGACACGGACCCAGACUCCUACGGGAGGACAGCAGUAGGGAAUCUUCCACAAUGGGUGCAACCUGACUGGAGACAUGCCGCGUGAGUGAAGAAGGUCUUCGGAUCGUAAAGCUCUGUUGUUAGAGAAGAACACGUGCUAGGUAACUACUAGCGCCUUGACGGUAUCUAACCAGAAAGUCACGGCUAACUACGUGCCAGCAGCCGCGGUAAUACGUAGGUGACAAGCGUUGUCCGGAUUUAUUGGGCGUAAAGGGAGCGCAGGCGGUCUGUUUAGUCUAAUGUGAAAGCCCACGGCUUAACCGUGGAACGGCAUUGGAAACUGACAGACUUGAAUGUAGAAGAGGAAAAUGGAAUUCCAAGUGUAGCGGUGGAAUGCGUAGAUAUUUGGAGGAACACCAGUGGCGAAGGCGAUUUUCUGGUCUAACAUUGA